GAGUUUGAUCAUGGCUCAGGAUGAACGCUAGCGGCAGGCUUAACACAUGCAAGUCGAGGGGUAGUAUAGCAAUAUAUGAGACCGGCGCACGGGUGCGUAACGCGUAUGCAAUCUACCUUUUACAGGGGAAUAGCCCAGAGAAAUUUGGAUUAAUGCCCCAUGGUAUAAUUGAUUGGCAUCAAUUAAUUAUUAAAGUUCCAACGGUAAAAGAUGAGCAUGCGUCCCAUUAGCUAGUUGGUAUGGUAACGGCAUACCAAGGCGAUGAUGGGUAGGGGUCCUGAGAAGGAGAUCCCCCACACUGGUACUGAGACACGGACCAGACUCCUACGGGAGGCAGCAGUGAGGAAUAUUGGACAAUGGGCGCAAGCCUGAUCCAGCCAUGCCGCGUGCAGGAAGAAGCAUCUAUGGUGUGUAAACUGCUUUUAUACAGGAAGAAACACUCCCUCGUGAGGGAGCUUGACGGUACUGUAAGAAUAAGGACCGGCUAACUCCGUGCCAGCAGCCGCGGUAAUACGGAGGGUCCAAGCGUUAUCCGGAAUCAUUGGGUUUAAAGGGUCCGUAGGCGGUUUAAUAAGUCAGUGGUGAAAGCCCAUCGCUCAACGAUGGAACGGCCAUUGAUACUGUUAGACUUGAAUUAUUA
RNAcentral lists this ribosomal RNA (640 nucleotides) under uncultured bacterium. RNAcentral describes it as "bacterial SSU rRNA". It matches the Rfam family "Bacterial small subunit ribosomal RNA", at positions 9 to 652 of the family's 1533-position model. The record is from RNAcentral.